Molecule: ribosomal RNA, 254 nt
Filed under: uncultured bacterium
Lineage: Bacteria
Description: partial 16S ribosomal RNA
Rfam family: Bacterial small subunit ribosomal RNA
Source: RNAcentral
GACGUAGGGCGCGAGCGUUGUCCGGAUUUAUUGGGCGUAAAGAGCUCGUAGGCGGUGUGUCGCGUCGGCCGUGAAAACCUGUAGCUUAACUGUGGGCUUGCGGUCGAUACGGGCAUCACUGGAGUUCGGCAGGGGAGACUGGAAUUCCUGGUGUAGCGGUGAAAUGCGCAGAUAUCAGGAGGAACACCGGUGGCGAAGGCGGGUCUCUGGGCCGAUACUGACGCUGAGGAGCGAAAGCGUGGGGAGCGAACAGG